Molecule: ribosomal RNA, 18 nt
Filed under: Bradyrhizobium yuanmingense
Lineage: Bacteria; Pseudomonadati; Pseudomonadota; Alphaproteobacteria; Hyphomicrobiales; Nitrobacteraceae
Description: partial 16S ribosomal RNA
Source: RNAcentral
UGUCGUACCAGGUAGCCG